UGGGGAAUAUUGCACAAUGGAGGGAACUCUGAUGCAGCGACGCCGCGUGAGUGAUGAAGGAAUUCGUUUCGUAAAACUCUGUUCCAUGGGAAGAAAAGGACUGUACCAUAGGAGAAAGCUCCGGCUAAAUACGUGCCAGCAGCCGCGGUAAUACGUAUGGAGCGAGCGUUGUCCGGAAUUAUUGGGCGUAAAGGGUGCGCAGGCGGCUUUACAAGUUGGAUGUGAAAUAUUGUGGCUCAACCACAAACGUGCAUCCAAAACUGCAAAGCUUGAGUUAAGGAGAGGUAAGUGGAAUUCCUGGUGUAGCGGUGGAAUGCGUAGAUAUCAGGAGGAAUACCGGUGGCGAAGGCGACUUACUGGACUUAAACUGACGCUCAGGCGCGAAAGCGUGGGGAGCAAACAGG
RNAcentral lists this ribosomal RNA (404 nucleotides) under Fusobacteriota bacterium. RNAcentral's name for it is "Fusobacteria bacterium partial 16S ribosomal RNA". It matches the Rfam family "Bacterial small subunit ribosomal RNA", at positions 355 to 776 of the family's 1533-position model. The record is from RNAcentral. Lineage: Bacteria; Fusobacteriati; Fusobacteriota.